RNAcentral lists this long non-coding RNA (230 nucleotides) under Homo sapiens (human). Its description in RNAcentral is "partial neighbor of SOX3". The record is from RNAcentral. Lineage: Eukaryota; Metazoa; Chordata; Mammalia; Primates; Hominidae.
CGGCCGCAGCUUUGAGUANUUAGACAGGCAGGCAGGCCAAGGUAGGCCUGGGCCAGCUGAGGAGCAGAUGGCUGCAGGAGCAGCAGCUGGGGCCCAUCCAUAGGCAUGUCUCUAGCCUGCCUCUGAGCUCUGGAUAAAACUUCUAAGGGUCACAGAACAAGAAGCUCUGUGCUGUGUGAUUGAUUGAUUGAUUUAGAAAUGGACAGAUUUUUUUUUAAAGCAACUAAUGC